AGGUUACCAAGUAGAUCCAGAUUCGAGCCAACAAAAUUGCACCCACUAAGAUACAUCUCCUCCACAGACUUCAGAUGACUGAUUGAAUCUGGUUCCAAAUGAAUUGAGAUCCGCGUGUAUGACAGAUCCAAAUGCGAAAGAGCAUUGCUCAAAUUGUAUUGCGGAAAAGAGCCAGUGAGUCCUUCGUUGCUCCAUAAAUCGAGCCAUUGAAGGUUUGAUCGGCGAAAUAAAUUAUCAGGGAGUUCCCCUUUCAAUCCACAACGCCAGAGUUGGAGAGUUGACAAAGAAGAAGACAAGUUCAUCAAGGAACUGGGUACCACUAAAGACAUGUUCACUCCACCCAAGUAGAGUUCUCUUAGCUGGGUAAGGUUCUGAGCAAGCUUGUUGAAAGAAAUCGGUUCCAGCAUCAGCUCCUCAGAGUUGGAAGAGAGAUCAAGUGACACCAAUCUGGAUAAAUGGGAGAUUUCUGGGGGAACUUGGCCUGCAAAAUUCGAUGAAUUUAGAUUUAAAUGCGUCAAAUGCAAGAACUGGCCAAAGGAAGAUGAAAUGACAGAGCGAUUGAAGUCAUUGCGGGAGAGAUCGAGCUUCUGAAGAUGAUGAAGGGAGAAGAGAGUGCUGUUAGAAUGGAGGGUGCCAUAAAGCAUGCUGCAACCAAGGUCUAGGCCAAUUACAUGGCCAGUUUUCAUGUUGCAUGUCACGCCAUCCCAAGUGCAGCAAUCUGUACCCUCUUUCCACAGCACUUUCUCGGGUGGAUAACAUGGAAAUGUAGAUGGAGAAGAAGGCAUGGGAAAGGAAUUUUUGAAUUGGAGCAAAGCCAGGCUCUGGUCACGGGGGCAUAAUUGUACUGAAGAGGAGAAAUUGGAAGAAGAAUGAGCAGGUUGGGAGUGCGAAUGGAAGAAAAGAAGGCAGAGAAAUUGAGCGAGCAACAAUGAAGAUCCCAUCAUUCCCUAAAAGUGCUCUUCUUAGAGAUUAACUUAGAUUGUUGGGAGACUUCUAUUAGAAUGUAGUCUAUAUAUAGAGACUUCCGGAAUGCAUAUUUUCCCUAAUAUUUAAAUAAUCAAUUUUAUAUGUACUAAUAUUUGCACUCAAUUUGUCCAAAUAAAUAUUAAUAUUAUAGCAUUGUAAAGAGAUCUUUGAUUUUUAAUCUGUUUCGAUUUUAUAAACUCUGAUUUUUAUUUUUUUUGCUAAUCAAA
Long non-coding RNA from Populus trichocarpa (black cottonwood), 1193 nucleotides. RefSeq lists it as uncharacterized. Lineage: Eukaryota; Viridiplantae; Streptophyta; Magnoliopsida; Malpighiales; Salicaceae. The transcript is spliced from 2 exons. The record is from RefSeq and is a predicted model, not a curated record.